GCCUCGGUUGGGAUCGCUGCUUACCGCAGGGAAGUCCUGCUGGUUUGAAAUUGCCUUCACCUCCUAGGAAACCUGGAAAAAAGUGCUGCCCUAGCUCACGCUGCUGUUUAGGCGAAACUAGAAAUUAAAUAGGUUCAGGAUUUUCUUUCGAAAUGCCCUCUCGGAUAAACCGGUUCACGUGUGGAAAUAGCGUCUGUUGCCCUCGGCUUCGACUUUAUUUUUUUAAGUCUUUAGGUAUCCGACUCGGGUUGAAAUCGGUGCCUGGCAUCUGAACAGUUCUGAAAACCAAUCCUGUAUUGUUUUGAAUUAAAACGGAAAUAUUUUUCUGCCAUGGGGCCCGCAGCCCUGGGGGAGAGGAAGGGCAGAUGCGUAGGGAGCGUCACUUCUUCAUUUGCUGCAGCUAGGCUUGUCCAGUCUCACAGGCUGGAAAACUAGGUAUUUGAAAAAAAUUAAGUGGCCUAGUAUUUAGUAACUCAUACCAUCAAACCUCGUGUUUUAUACUUGAAGGCAGAAGAAGCCGAAAGCGCUGUGCACAUCUCUGCUUUGUUGGAGGCAGGGCGGCGGAAGGUGUCCGUGGCAAUUUUAUCUAUUUCUGUGAUGUUUUUGUUUACCUUCAAAGGAAUCUGCAUCCAGACUUUCUUGACUGGAGACUUGUGGCUUCGUACAAGGGAAGGAGGAAUCAUCCUCAGCAUUUCAUUUAGGGCUGCUUUGUCUCCAAUUCGCAGCUCAUUAGAAGGUAUGUAACUCUUCAGUCGUGUUAUUUAACAGGUAUGUUCUCAUGGUGCUAUUAAUGCCCUCUAGACUGAGUAAUUCCUGGCACAAGAAAGAUUUCAGAGACUAUUAACAUAGAAGUCUGUUGUAUGGAAGUCUAGACGGAAGUCUGUUCCCAUGGGUAUUGCACACAUUGGGUCAUGUAACACCUAAUAAUAACCUUGCCAAUCUCUAUUUUGGACUCACCUCCUAGGAGGCCUGUAAACUUCACACAGAUAGCCAAAUCACUGUCCAGACAUGUUUUCAGGUGGAAAAAGAGGACAGUUUGGAAACACCCAGAUGUAAGUAGUUCCAGACUUUCCUCAUCCUCCUAGAUACAGGCAAUACCUGCUAACUUGAUGCUGUCAGGAGAUGUCAUCGGUGGUGCAUGCUUGCUUUUGCGGUGGUUGUGAAUAAAAGCAUGAAACAACAUUGGAAGAAAAUGCUGAUCCUUGUGGAACUCUGCCAGUAAUGCCUUGGCAGCGCGAUACAUUUUCAACAGUUAUUCGGUACUAGAAAUUACUUACAGCUAAUAUUUUGUAUCCUAGCCCUAAUUCUUGAAGGAGCUCUGCAGAGGACUGCCUGCUUAGAAUGGAUUACAGGAUUAAAAUCUUAAGUGUUUGUCCUUUUUGUUUUUCCUAAUAAUUGUAAUAUCACAAUUUCUCAUCACAAGGUGUGGGAGGAACUAGAGUGCUUUAAAAUUAGAAAUGCAGCGUGCAUCUUUGAAAUCUGAAAUAAUAGAUCUCACAUAUAUGCAAAGGAAUUGUAGUUAAUAUGAUUAAAUUCUGUUUCCAUGCAAGAGUCUGUAAAGUAGCAGAAUGCCCUGAGUAUUUUAAGAUUGUAUUGGCUGUUUUCUUUCCUCCUAGAAUGUUACAUGAGUAUGGAAGACUUUUGCAAAACUAAGGGGUGUUACAUUUAAAGUAUUUGAAGGAUUUGAAAGUCCUGCCAAGAGGCUCAAAUGAUCUUUAAAUUUUGGAUGCUGCCUUUUUAAUGUUCAGUGUUUGUAAUAACUAGCUCCUGCAAUUACACAACCUUUAUUUUGAGCACAGGAAAAGGGGCUCCAGUACUCCCAUAUUGAAGGCAGUCUAGCAUAAUGACCAGUCUUGAAAAUCUGAUCUUUUGUUUUUUGUUUUUUAGGGUUGAAAGCUUAGGUUAAAUUCUGUCCCACUGACAUCAGAAGUGGAGCUAGAAUGAUUGCGGAGGAAUCUGAAUUUCACUGUUGAAGUUUGAUCACGUAGGCGUUGUCAAGCGGACUCGCAAAGAAGUUGAGCCAGGGUUUGUAGAUAUGGCAGAAACAAUGUCGACGGUGAUUUUCAAGGAGGCUUUUUGAGUCUAGAGGCAAAGCUUGCUCAGUACUUCUCUUCAUUAAUAGCCUCCUGGAAGACAGUAGAACUACUUACAAAGUAAAACACUAUUUGUUGGAGGAAUAUUGGAAUCCAUCUUAACCUCUUAUGUAACUUUUGUGAGAAGAAUUACAAAAAUUAAGCAUAUAAUUACAGUUACAAUUUUGACAAAAGCUCAGUAGAGAAGACCAAAUGGAGAUGUCAACUGUGUGAGCACGGGCUGUGGACAAGGAACAUAUGGUUGGGUUGAAUAAUUGUCUACGUACCGGACUGUCUGUGACUGUUUAACAGAGUCUAUGGGAUGAGCUGGGUACACAGUGCUCCAUCGUUUUGAGCGUCUCCAAACUCUACAUUUUUUUUGAGUCUAUUAAGUUUUCCACUUAUGAAAUAUAUUAUGGCUGAAGGUCGAAGGAAGACAUUCAACCUUUGCCCACUUAUGGCAAUUACUCUGGAGACAACCACUGCUUGGAAAACAAGUAUUAUGAGCUACCUGUAAGUUCUGAUUCACCUAAUAGAUAAGGAGCCAGAGAUACUUCUGAACUCACGAAUGAAAAUUUUUUCGCUCAUUGUCUGCUGCUCUUUUAAAUGUAAAGCAAAGAGUGAAGUGUUCAUGUAUUCUAUGUAUAACAGCUGACAUGUUUUCUGCAUUCCUGUAUUUGCCUAAAAAGUCAUGGAUUAACAACUUAAUUUGAUGUGCAAAAUAUAAUGCGUGGAUGAACUCUGAUACAUAGCCGUUGCCAUAUCCCUGCUGUUAUGAGAGGCAAAGACUACUAGAAAAGAAACUGUCACGAAAUUCUUCCCGAUAAUUUUGUCAUCAAUUUUUCUCCAAUAAUAUAUCUGUAGGUGGAUUCCACAGAUGUUUUUUUCCCCUGAAUGGCUGGUUCUGUGUGUGAGUUAUGUUUCUCACUGUCCUUCUUGCUGUAUUAGUAAUCAGACCUAUCUUAUAAUUUCAGAUGUUCAGUCCCUAUAUUCUUAACUAAGAAAAGCUAAUCCGAAACAUUUACUUUUCAAACCUUUUUUAUUAUUUAAAUGUAUACUUAAAAUAAUAAUAAUAAUUUUCUACAUAUGUUACAAAUAACUCCCCGUAUUAUUACUGUCGUGAUGCAGAACAGGCAGGAGCCAGCAGCAUAGAGAGACAGAAGUGAUUGUAACAGAGGUUAAUGUUUUACAAGUAAUAACUUGGGUGUAGUGAGACUUAUGGUCUUAAUUAACUCUCUGAAUGUUUUUCAACACAACCGAAGUAAAUAAUUUUAAAAUCUAAUUUACUUGUCCUUAUGCUAUCCGUUUACUCUUUGCCUUGCUGCUUUUGAAUGACAAAAACUAGUCCGUUUUGCUUAGAUUUUAGAGAAUCUCACACAGAUUAGAGCAUCUAUUCUUCUAGCAAAAAAGCAGCUGUAUAUGAGUAAAAUGAUAAUCCUGACCAGGGAAAAUAAAUCAGCCCAUGAGAUGUGGCUUAGUUCUAUAUUUGCGUUCCUUUCUUGGAAAUCCUUACGCUGGCCAGAAUAGCCAUCAGCAUUACGUAGACUGGCAAAAUUUGGUCAUUAUAUUUCAGAUAGUUGGUGUCCUUUUGCUGGAAAGAAGCAGCUGGAUAUUUUCUGUCAUAAUGUGACCAAUCCACCUCUGUUGUUGUCAUUUUAAUUGCUGUGGCUGUUUUUUUAAGUCCUCUACAGAAGGUCUUUGUAGUGACAAGCGAACAGUUUACGCUUCAUAAGCAAACAUAAAGAAAGCUGCUGCUAAUUGGAGAGGGAGUAAUGCAGUUAUGAUUCCAUCAACAUUUAAGUUACAUUGUUAAAGGAUGCAUUUUGGUUGUGUUUAUGUUGCCAUAUAAAAUUCUACUCAGGAUGAAUUUGGUGGGGAAGAUUUUAUAAUAGAAAAGACUAAUUCCGGGAUCAUGGGAAACAGAGGGAGGAAAGGGUGGAAGGAAGGGAAAGAAGUGAAAAUUUUCUAACCUAUGUAUAUAAUAUUAAAGAUCAGAAUCUUACUACUCUUUUUAUUUCUUAUGAUAAAUGUUACUUAACUGGUGGCUUGUACUGUAGCUUGUCUUUAAAAGCAGAAAGACCUUCUCACAGCCCCCAAAAGCUCGCUUUACCUUGCCCUGAAGAACUGUAGCCACAAUGUUUCAUGCUGAAGAGGACUCUUGAAAGUCACCAGUAGUGUCCUUUAAUGUCCUGAAGGAAGGAAUCAUUGUUCAGUAAUUUACUCUCUUUUGUUUUUUUCCUAGAGAUUUUGCAUGUUAUAGCUGUAUCUGUUCACCUCCCAGCUUCUAAAAGUCUGAAGAAUCUUGUUUUAAACUUUCUUCUUUUCCAUAAAUUACACUUCCAUGGAAUAUUUGGCUGCAGAUGAAUAGUUUUACAGCUACAUGUCCAAACUUGUUUCUUCUAAGUGCCUUUUUUUUUUUUCUAUUUGUGUGUCU
Struthio camelus australis is the source of this 4506-nucleotide non-coding RNA. Lineage: Eukaryota; Metazoa; Chordata; Aves; Struthioniformes; Struthionidae. The record is from RefSeq and is a predicted model, not a curated record.